GUUCAGAAAUAGGGCGCUGGCUUUGCCAGGAGCGGCUCCUCUCCAAGCCUGGCGGUCACUGCCCUGUGUCCCCUUUUGGGCCUCUCCUGGUCCUCCUGGUUGGAUUAGGAGGCCUCUCAGCCCGGAGUCUGGGUCGCCGAAGUACAGGCCCCUUCACUGAAGCGACCCACGGCGCAGGGGUUUCUGGAAGCCAUCGCCAGGCUCCGAGUGUUCAGAUGCAGCUGCCAGGCUCAGGACGCAGAGAACUGGCUUCCAGCUCGCAGGAGCGCCUGUCCGUGGUGGGUAGGGUCGCAGGCGUGGGGUGUGCAGGAGCAGUGGGACAGCACUGAAACGCAGUCGGAAGAGAUACCACGGUGUGCAGGCACAGGGAAAAGACCACGUGAGGACACAGAGAGAAGACGGCCGUCUGCAAGCCAAGGAGAGAGGCCUCAGGUGAAACCAAACCUGCAGGCACCUUGAUCUUGGACUUCCAGCCUCCAGAAGCUUGAGAAAAGAAAUUUCUGUUGUUUAAGACACCCAUUCUGUGGUAUUUGUUCUGGCAGCCCUAACAAACUAAUAUAGGGAUCUAAAGAUUCCUUGUCUUCAUUUUGAGUAAGAGACUAUAAACUCAGAACUGUGGAGAUCUAGUUAGGUAUUGUACAGCUAGCCUCAUUCUGUCUUAAACUCCAGGUAAAAGAGAAAAAUAUGGAGACAGCCCCUGACUUUGGAGAACUUGCAGUUUUGUGGAGGUGAAAGGAGGCAGCCACAAGAAAAACCCCUGACAUCAAUUCAAAACUAUAAAUAACAAAGACUAACUUGUUCUAUGCACAACAGGUACUACAGCACUGUCCAACAUGGGGACAUGUGAGUGGCCUGAAGCAGCACAAGAACUGGGCAAUAAACUUGAGAUGAACCUCAAAGCAUCAAUAUUAUUCAUGACUAAACUGGGUUCUAAGAAUUUCUAUUUUUACUCUCAGUGUUCAGUAGAGGUCAUUAAAAAAAAAUCUAGCAAUUUUUUUUUCUAAAAUGAAUAUGUAAUAAGAAUGAAAAACAAAAAGCACUAUAAUGUUUUUAAUUAAUGAAAUGCCUUUACGAACCAAGGUGCCAUCUUGGAGAAGCUAGGCAUUAUGAGGAGCUAUCAGGAGCACAUUUGCUAACAGCUUGGCAUGAGCAGGAUUUUCUUGACCAACUGGCAAGAUGGGGCUGCUCAGCUCCUGCUGGCAGAUUUUUAUGGAGCAUAGUUUUACAAAUUCAGCCUACAACUCUGAUACGUUCCAAUGUAUUUUAAACAUCUAUUCAGUUGCAACUCUAAUCCCAGGAACCUGUGGCUAACAGAAGGCAGAUUUAACUGACUAGCAGCUGUGGGAUUUUCAAAGUCUAAACUGAAAUGAACAUGCGAAACAGUUGGACUACCCCAAAAGCUGAAUUACAAUUCCAGCACUCACCAGCUCUGAAACCUCACUUGGUUACCUAACGCCUCUGUGCCUCAGUUCCCCAGCUAUAAAAUGGAAAAGGCAACAAUACCAACCUUGUAGAUUAUGUUUUGGAUUAAAUGAGGCAACACAUACACAGCACUUAGAACGUGCAAGGCACAAUGGAAGCAUGCAGUGAACAUGACUUGUAAUGAUGCUGACUGUCAUAACUCUCAUCCAUAGGGAUGCUGCCUCUGCUUGUCACCCUUGACCUAUAUAUUUUCAGGCAGUCCUCACCCAGUCCCCAUUUGUGUGUUCUAGAUAGAAAAGGCCCCAUACUAUGAAAUGACUACUGUCCUUCUGCAUGAAGCCUGGUGAACCUGAUAAUGUAGCCUUCAAGUUCCCUUACUGAGCCUUGAGCUCCCUUCAAAGUAUCCAAGCCAACCCUGUCUUGGGAAACUCACCUAGAUAAUGCCCUGAACCCCAAUAAAGGCUCCAGCCCACAGGUCCCUCCCUCUCUCUUGGUCCCCACCCUUUGGCUGGGCAUGUGUGUCCUCAAUGUCUCCAAGCCCUUCCAGUAAGCCCUGCAAGGUGUGCUGGCCACUGUUCUCUGGAAUCUGUGAGUAAUAAACAAUCUUUUUGCCAUUCUGCUCU
Molecule: long non-coding RNA, 2045 nt
Filed under: Homo sapiens (human)
Lineage: Eukaryota; Metazoa; Chordata; Mammalia; Primates; Hominidae
Description: non-protein coding lnc-ZNF667-2:3
Source: RNAcentral